RNAcentral lists this RNase P RNA (342 nucleotides) under Planktomarina sp. Its description in RNAcentral is "partial RNase P RNA component class A". It matches the Rfam family "Bacterial RNase P class A". Rfam says of the family: Ribonuclease P (RNase P) is a ubiquitous endoribonuclease, found in archaea, bacteria and eukarya as well as chloroplasts and mitochondria. Lineage: Bacteria; Pseudomonadati; Pseudomonadota; Alphaproteobacteria; Rhodobacterales; Paracoccaceae. The record is from RNAcentral.
AACCUUCGAGGAAAGUCCGGACUCCCUGAAACAACGGUGCCGGGUAACGCCCGGCGGGGGCAACCCCAGGGAAAGCGCCACAGAGAAGAGACAGCCUUGCAUGCAAGGUAAUGGUGAAACGGUGGGGUAAAGCCCACCGCACGACUGGUAACAGCCGUGGCACGGCAAGCCCCACCGGGAGCAAUGCCAAAUAGGAGCCGCAUAUGGGCCGUUUCAGCCUGCAGGUUCGGGUUGGCAGCUAGAGGGGUCUGGUAACAGGCCCACGAGAUGAAUGAUUGCCCAAGGUUGCGUAGGAAACUACGUUAUCCUGGACAAAAUCCGGCUUAUAGGCCCCCCGCGCAC